UGACCUUGAAUGUUUCCAGGGAUGGGGCAUCCACCCCCUCUCAGGGCAGUCUGUGCUAACAGGACACCAGUGGCUGUCUGAGCAGCUCUUGGGACCAGACAGGAGAUCUCAGGGCUCCCAAAACACAUUCAGUUAUUGCUCAUUGGGUCAUGACCCCACUUCCAUUAAACUUUUAAUGGUUAGGUGCCUAUCCUGCUUGUAUUUCAGCAGCCGUUGGGCUUGAAGAGCAACCUGCUGCCCCCAUCCUUCUCAGGGUGCACGCUGUCGAGGUCCUGCUUCUGUCCCUGGCUCACACGAAAUGUUUCAAAAGAGAGCACAAGAAAUCCUGAAGGUGACAGCCAUGGAAUGACCUGCCAACAGGAAAAAGUUUCCUCCAAAUCCUAUUACUCAGAGGUUGGCUGAGACCCUGGAGCAUUAAUCUUGAUAUCCCCUAAAAUCUGCUUUUGUACAGCAUCUGACUUAGCCAUGUAUCAAACAGACAACCUCAAAGAAAUUCACAGCCCUGGAAAUGGAGACCAGAGACAAAUUGUAUGUGCUUUGCUCUGACUCUUCUUGGAAGCUGCAGAUGUUCAUUGUUUGGACACAAAACGGGCAGAUUAAUAUCUCCAGAUGUUCACCAUCCAUUCUUCCAGAACAUUAGUGGGCAGGCCAGGGAAUGGAUGCUUUUAGCAGAAACUUCAGUUUAUGCUACUGCUUCAGACAGAAGUAAUUUGUCAGAGCUGAUGUUCUGGAGAGCACCUGCUCCAAAAGCAGGGAGUCUACACAGAGCAAUGUCCUUCCCUGCCACCACCCAACACUACAUGGAGCCUAAAAACCAUCCACGCAACUGCUGAUGAACCGGCUUCCAAAGAGAACGAGAAUCCAGCAUUGUUUCUGACUAUUUUACCUGACAGGAAUAAGCAAAUAUUUAAAAUUGCUGAAGUUUUUAAGUGGCUGAGUGGCUUGGACAGUCAAUACAAGGAGAGAACUUCUCUUGAGCCACAGACAUAGCACUGUUUUUUAAAGAAAUUUAAAUGUGAAUUUGUCCAUAAUUGUGCUUCUUAUUCACAGAGGAAAAAAAAGCAGGUAUCAAUUUAGCAUUACCAAAUGUGAUACAACUAAUUGUCAUAUAUUUAUGUAUUCUUGGAGAAAAACAUGUGAUGACAUUUUUGGUAACAAAUGCCCAUUUUAAUUUGAAGAGCAAAGCUGUUUACCACCAAUUCUCAGUGCCAGGUUAUAUAAGAACACAAGUGAGAUGCUGCUG
This is a long non-coding RNA of Empidonax traillii (willow flycatcher), 1243 nucleotides long. RefSeq lists it as uncharacterized. The record is from RefSeq and is a predicted model, not a curated record. The transcript has 2 exons. Lineage: Eukaryota; Metazoa; Chordata; Aves; Passeriformes; Tyrannidae.